RNAcentral lists this ribosomal RNA (645 nucleotides) under uncultured bacterium. RNAcentral's name for it is "bacterial SSU rRNA". It matches the Rfam family "Bacterial small subunit ribosomal RNA", at positions 63 to 698 of the family's 1533-position model. The record is from RNAcentral.
CGAGGGGCAGCGGGGGAGUGGCAACACUUCCGCCGGCGACCGGCGCACGGGUGAGUAACACGUAUGAAACCUGCCCGCAGCAGGGGGAUAAGCGGAAGAAAUUCCGUCUAAUACCGCGUAACAACCGACGGGGGCAUCCCUGUUGGUUCAAAGGAGCGAUCCGGCUGCGGAUGGUCAUGCGGCGCAUUAGCUAGUUGGCGGGGCAACGGCCCACCAAGGCGACGAUGCGUAGGGGUUCUGAGAGGAAGGUCCCCCACACUGGUACUGAGACACGGACCAGACUCCUACGGGAGGCAGCAGUGAGGAAUAUUGGUCAAUGGCCGAGAGGCUGAACCAGCCAAGUCGCGUGAGGGAUGACGGCCCUACGGGUUGUAAACCUCUUUUGCCGGGGAGCAAAGAGCGGGACGCGUCCCGCCUCGAGAGUACCCGGAGAAAAAGCAUCGGCUAACUCCGUGCCAGCAGCCGCGGUAAUACGGAGGAUGCGAGCGUUAUCCGGAUUUAUUGGGUUUAAAGGGUGCGCAGGCGGAAGCGCAAGUCAGCGGUAAAAUUGAGAGGCUCAACCUCUUCCCGCCGUUGAAACUGCGUUUCUUGAGUGGGCGAGAAGUACGCGGAAUGCGUGGUGUAGCGGUGAAAUGCAUAGAUAUC